CUGCAUGACCGAUAGUGAACCAGUACCGUGAGGGAAAGGUGAAAAGAACGCCGAGACGGCGAGUGAAAUAGUACCUGAAACCGUGUGCUUACAAGCGGUCGGAGGUCCUUCGGGACUGACGGCGUGCCUUUUGUAUAAUGAGCCUACGAGUUACUCCUGUUGUGCGAGGUUAAGCCCUUACGGGGUGGAGCCGUAGCGAAAGCGAGUCUGAAUAGGGCGCGCAGUACGACGGGGUAGACGCGAAACCAAGUGAUCUAUCCAUGGCCAGGGUGAAGUGGCGGUAAAACGCCAUGGAGGCCCGAACCGGUUGACGUUGAAAAGUCUUCGGAUGAGCUGUGGAUAGGGGUGAAAGGCCAAUCAAACUUGGAGAUAGCUCGUACUCCCCGAAAUAUAUUUAGGUAUAGCGUCUGGUUUUGUCUGCCCGGAGGUAGAGCACUGAUUAGGCUAGGGGGCUUCACCGCCUACCAACCCUAGACAAACUCCGAAUACCGGGCCAGAGUCGCCAGGCAGUCAGUCCUAGGGUGAUAACGUCCUAGGGCGAGAGGGGAACAACCCAGACCACCAGCUAAGGUCCCUAAAUGAUGGCUAAGUUGAUCAAAGAAAGUUGAGUUGCUCAGACAACUAGGAGGUUGGCUUAGAAGCAGCCAUUCCUUUAAAGAGUGCGUAAUAGCUCACUAGUCAAGCGACUCGGCGUCGAUAAUAAUCGGGCAUAAGUCAUCUGCCGAAGCUGUGGGAUAGAGAUAUCGGUAGGGGAGCAUUCCAGUCAGCGCUGAAGGAGUCCUGUGAGGGGCUUUGGAGCGGUUGGAAGCGAAACUGUAGGCAUGAGUAACGAUAAGAUAGGUGAAAAACCUAUCCACCGUAAACCCAAGGGUUCCUGAUCAACGCUAAUCGGAUCAGGGUUAGUCGAGACCUAAGGUGUACCCGGUGAUGCCGGGGAAGCUGAUGGCAAAGCGGUUAAAUAUUCCGCUACCCUAGCAAACGCUAGGCUAAGGCGUGACGCAGAAGUGACACUCCCGCGUGCGGACGAAUGCACGUUGAAGGGUGUAGGCUAGAGAGUAGGCAAAUCCGCUCUCUGUGAAGGCUGAACCCCGACAGUACCCGGAGUCUUCGGACGAAGGGAUAGUGGAGGUAAUCCUGCUGCCAAGAAAAGCGUCGUAGUUUGU
RNAcentral lists this ribosomal RNA (1163 nucleotides) under Paracoccaceae bacterium. Its description in RNAcentral is "Rhodobacteraceae bacterium (freshwater metagenome) partial 23S ribosomal RNA". It matches the Rfam family "Bacterial large subunit ribosomal RNA", at positions 476 to 1630 of the family's 2925-position model. Lineage: Bacteria; Pseudomonadati; Pseudomonadota; Alphaproteobacteria; Rhodobacterales; Paracoccaceae. The record is from RNAcentral.